GCGCCCGUAGCUCAGUUGGCAGAGCAAAUCCCUCUUAAGGAUAAGGUCAUUGGUUCGAAUCCAAUCGGGCGCA
RNAcentral lists this transfer RNA (73 nucleotides) under Candidatus Staskawiczbacteria bacterium RIFCSPHIGHO2_01_FULL_39_25. Its description in RNAcentral is "tRNA-Lys". It matches the Rfam family "tRNA". Rfam says of the family: Transfer RNA (tRNA) molecules are approximately 80 nucleotides in length. Their secondary structure includes four short double-helical elements and three loops (D, anti-codon, and T loops). The record is from RNAcentral. Lineage: Bacteria; Candidatus Staskawicziibacteriota. RNAcentral also lists the same sequence under 2 other names.